CGAACCCAUUCCGAACUCGGAAGUUAAGCGCCUCAUCGCCCAUGAUACUGCGUAUUUUUGCGUGGGAAAGUAGGUCGACGCCAAGG
This 86-nucleotide ribosomal RNA is filed under the name Candidatus Mailhella merdavium. The record is from RNAcentral. Lineage: Bacteria; Pseudomonadati; Thermodesulfobacteriota; Desulfovibrionia; Desulfovibrionales; Desulfovibrionaceae.